RNAcentral lists this unclassified non-coding RNA (206 nucleotides) under rhizosphere metagenome. RNAcentral's name for it is "partial ribosomal RNA internal transcribed spacer region". The record is from RNAcentral.
GUAGGUGAACCUGCGGAAGGAUCAUUAGUGAAAACAAGGGUGUCCAAUUUAACUUGGAGCCCGAACUCUCACUUUCUAACCCUGUGCAUCUGUUAUUGGUUAGUAGCUCUUCGGAGUGAACUCCAUUCACUUACAAACACAAAGUUUAUGAAUGUAUACAAAAUUAUAACAAAACAAAACUUUCAACAACGGAUCUCUUGGCUCUC